GGGUUGUGAGGUUAAGCGACUAAGCGUACACGGUGGAUGCCCUGGCAGUCAGAGGCGAUGAAGGACGUGCUAAUCUGCGAUAAGCGUCGGUAAGGUGAUAUGAACCGUUAUAACCGGCGAUUUCCGAAUGGGGAAACCCAGUGUGAUUCGUCACACUAUCAUUGCGUGAAUACAUAGCGUAAUGAAGCGAACCGGGGGAACUGAAACAUCUAAGUACCCCGAGGAAAAGAAAUCAACCGAGAUUCCCCCAGUAGCGGCGAGCGAACGGGGAGCAGCCCAGAGUCUGAAUCAGCAUGUGUGGUAGUGGAACGGUCUGGAAAGUCCGACGGUACAGGGUGAUAGUCCCGUACACAAAAGUGCAUGUGUUGUGAACUCGAAGAGUAGGGCGGGACACGUGGUAUCCUGUCUGAAUAUGGGGGGACCAUCCUCCAAGGCUAAAUACUCCUGACUGACCGAUAGUGAACCAGUACCGUGAGGGAAAGGCGAAAAGAACCCCGGCGAGGGGAGUGAAAAAGAACCUGAAACCGUGUACGUACAAGCAGUGGGAGCCUCUUUAUGGGGUGACUGCGUACCUUUUGUAUAAUGGGUCAGCGACUUAUAUUCUGUAGCAAGGUUAACCGAAUAGGGGAGCCGAAGGGAAACCGAGUCUUAACUGGGCGUUAAGUUGCAGGGUAUAGACCCGAAACCCGGUGAUCUAGCCAUGGGCAGGUUGAAGGUUGGGUAACACUAACUGGAGGACCGAACCGACUAAUGUUGAAAAAUUAGCGGAUGACUUGUGGCUGGGGGUGAAAGGCCAAUCAAACCGGGAGAUAGCUGGUUCUCCCCGAAAGCUAUUUAGGUAGCGCCUCGUGAAUUCAUCUUCGGGGGUAGAGCACUGUUUCGGCUAGGGGGUCAUCCCGACUUACCAACCCGAUGCAAACUGCGAAUACCGAAGAAUGUUAUCACGGGAGACACACGGCGGGUGCUAACGUCCGUCGUGAAGAGGGAAACAACCCAGACCGCCAGCUAAGGUCCCAAAGUCAUGGUUAAGUGGGAAACGAUGUGGGAAGGCACAGACAGCCAGGAUGUUGGCUUAGAAGCAGCCAUCAUUUAAAGAAAGCGUAAUAGCUCACUGGUCGAGUCGGCCUGCGCGGAAGAUGUAACGGGGCUAAACCAUGCACCGAAGCUGCGGCAGCGACACUAUGUGUUGUUGGGUAGGGGAGCGUUCUGUAAGCCGUUGAAGGUGUGCUGUGAGGCAUGCUGGAGGUAUCAGAAGUGCGAAUGCUGACAUAAGUAACGAUAAUGCGGGUGAAAAACCCGCACGCCGGAAGACCAAGGGUUCCUGUCCAACGUUAAUCGGGGCAGGGUGAGUCGACCCCUAAGGCGAGGCCGAAAGGCGUAGUCGAUGGGAAACAGGUUAAUAUUCCUGUACUUGGUGUUACUGCGAAGGGGGGACGGAGAAGGCUAUGUUAGCCGGGCGACGGUUGUCCCGGUUUAAGCAUGUAGGCGGAGAUUCCAGGUAAAUCCGGAGUCUUG
Molecule: ribosomal RNA, 1515 nt
Filed under: Citrobacter braakii
Lineage: Bacteria; Pseudomonadati; Pseudomonadota; Gammaproteobacteria; Enterobacterales; Enterobacteriaceae
Description: partial 23S ribosomal RNA
Rfam family: Bacterial large subunit ribosomal RNA
Source: RNAcentral